UUUAAAGAGUUUUCAUGUUUU
This 21-nucleotide non-coding RNA is filed under the name Caenorhabditis elegans. Lineage: Eukaryota; Metazoa; Nematoda; Chromadorea; Rhabditida; Rhabditidae. The record is from RNAcentral.